GGCAGAAUGUUAAAUGAUUAGAGUAGAAUAACAAAUUUCCAUCCUAAACACAAAUAAUAAAAUAAACAUAACUCCAAUUUAGAUUAUACGGGACACCACCCAUGCCAAUUAUCAGAUUCAACUAACUAUUGAAUAGGAUAACCAAAUCUAAUUAAAUCAAAUUCAACUUUUUAAAAUUUUCAAACAAUCCAUACCAAAUAGUGCAAAAUUCCAAACUCUUAUCAUCAAAGCCAUGUAAAUAAAAUUAUAAGUAGAUAGGAAAGAAUUGAACCUAGUGUUUCCAAUUAAUGAGAGUUUGAAACUUUACAACUUUUGUAUGUACGAAUGGAUGCGGCAAACGACACGACUGAAGCUUGAACCACAAAUGCUAGACAGACCCCCAAACCAAAAAUAAUGAGCAACGAUCUCAAACGAAAAUUGAACAAGCCAUUGACGGCCAAAAUAGUGGUCGGAAACCUCCAUGGAACUACAACCCAUAGGCCGGAAACGUGACAACAUUCAAUGACGGACCUCAACAUCGGCACCCAAAAUUAACAGACUCCCAGACCUCAAACAAACACCAUGGCUUUUGAAUCCAAAACUGAGAUCAACUGAAGAAAAAUCAGAAACUCUUUCAUAUAUGUAUAUCUUCAAUUUUUACCCCUUUUCAUGUUAUUAGUCCGUUCCCUUUUUUAGUUACUUUUUUCUGUUAUGAAGAAGGAGCGAGCAACUAUGGUGGUCAUUUUUGUUGGUUGAAGAAGACGACUAUGUGCGUGUGUGUUGUGGUGUCUUGGGACUGGUGGAGUUGGUGAGUGGUUUUUGUGAGGAUGUCGAAGAAGAAGACGACGCAGCAGAAGGGGGUCAUUUUAUGGCUGGACGUUGGCGGACUGCUGGUCGUUUCUUCGUCAAAGAAGACGAGGAAGGGCAGUGGGCGUUGGGGCUGGGUGGUGUCGAAGAAGACAACGCAGCAGGGGGAGGCGGAUGUUUAGUGGCUGAUUGAUUUUAGGGUUAUGGAAAUGAAAUCA
This 1004-nucleotide long non-coding RNA is filed under the name Nicotiana benthamiana. RNAcentral describes it as "long non-coding RNA (NBEN_LNC018567)". The record is from RNAcentral. Lineage: Eukaryota; Viridiplantae; Streptophyta; Magnoliopsida; Solanales; Solanaceae.